UACAGAGGUGGCAAGCGUUGUUCGGAAUUACUGGGCGUAAAGGGCGCGUAGGCGGCCUUCUAAGUCAGACGUGAAAUCCCCAGGCUUAACUUGGGAACUGCGUCUGAUACUGGGAGGCUUGAGUGCGGGAGAGGGAUGUGGAAUUCCAGGUGUAGCGGCGAAAUGCGUAGAUAUCUGGAGGAACACCGGUGGCGAAGGCGGCAUCCUGGACCGACACUGACGCUGAGGCGCGAAAGCUAGGGGAGCGAACAGG
This 253-nucleotide ribosomal RNA is filed under the name uncultured bacterium. RNAcentral's name for it is "partial 16S ribosomal RNA". It matches the Rfam family "Bacterial small subunit ribosomal RNA", at positions 524 to 776 of the family's 1533-position model. The record is from RNAcentral.